CUGCUGUGCAAUGGCGGCCAACAGCAGCCUCCCGGUAGUAUGUGCAGCCUACUGACCGCACGGGUGGCCCUAAGGGACCGCGGAGACAGCG
This 91-nucleotide small nucleolar RNA is filed under the name Lynx canadensis (Canada lynx). RNAcentral describes it as "Small nucleolar RNA SNORA70 (ENSLCNG00005015810.1)". It matches the Rfam family "Small nucleolar RNA SNORA70", at positions 44 to 135 of the family's 135-position model. Rfam says of the family: snoRNA U70 seems to be exclusive to mammals and is a member of the H/ACA class of snoRNA which contain H (ANANNA) and ACA box motifs. H/ACA box snoRNAs are involved in the conversion of uridines to pseudouridines (5-ribosyluracil) a constituent of structural RNAs (transfer, ribosomal, small nuclear, and small nucleolar). Lineage: Eukaryota; Metazoa; Chordata; Mammalia; Carnivora; Felidae. The record is from Rfam by way of RNAcentral.